UACGGAGGGGUGCAAGCGUUUAUCCGGAUUCACUGGGUUUAAAGGGUGCGUAGGUGGGCUGGUAAGUCAGUGGUGAAAUCUCCAGGCUUAACUUGGAAACUGCCAUUGAUACUAUCAGUCUUGAAUACCGUGGAGGUCAGCGGAAUAUGUCAUGUAGCGGUGAAAUGCUUAGAUAUGACAUAGAACACCAAUUGCGAAGGCAGCUGGCUACACGAAUAUUGACACUGAUGCACGAAAAGCGUGGGGAUCAAACAGG
Molecule: ribosomal RNA, 256 nt
Filed under: uncultured bacterium
Lineage: Bacteria
Description: partial 16S ribosomal RNA
Rfam family: Bacterial small subunit ribosomal RNA
Source: RNAcentral